Molecule: transfer RNA, 69 nt
Filed under: Pseudomyrmex peperi
Lineage: Eukaryota; Metazoa; Arthropoda; Insecta; Hymenoptera; Formicidae
Description: tRNA-Trp
Source: RNAcentral
AAGAUUUUAGGUUAAAUGAAACCUUAAACCUUCAAAGUUUAAAUAAUAAACUCAGUUUUAUAAAUCUUA